GAAUAUGAAAGGAUUCCAGCAAUUUUCUUGAACUCUUAGAUGUCCUAAUGCUGAGAUUAUUCUGCUCCCAGCCAAUCAUGAGAAUGACCUCCUCCAUACUUCUUCUGCUGUUGCACUGUUCUCAGGUCUCUGCUUUCCUGUGAACCAAAGAAACGACGGCUGAUAACUUUUUAAGGAUGCAAGAAAAAGGGCUUCAUUUUCUAGCUGUGUGGACUUUGGCAAAUUGUUUAAGUUUUCUGUGGCCCAUUACCUCAUCUGGAAAAUAGGAUUAAUGGCAUCAGUGAAUGGCAUCGUGGAGCGAGUGUGGGGAUUCGAUGACAAAAGUGCCUCAUGGUCAUGGCAAGUGACCACAGCAUCUGGAGCUGUGAUGGAUGAUGAUGGCGGUGGCGGCGGUGGUGGUGGAUAGAUAGUUCCUGAACAUCCAGCCCAUCAGAAGCGGGGAAAGGAGCAGAUGUUUGAGACUGAAGCCAUAGGAACGGGCAGAAGGCAAGGUUGAUGGGGUCACAAACACACCUGUCAUCAUCUUAGUAGAAUAAAUUAUCUGCCUUUCAACAUGUCCUGAAUAUGUCUGAGAUAGAUCUGAGAGGAAUAGAUAAUGUGAAAUGGCCCAAGUGGUAAACAGGUAUUCUUUCAUUUGGUGAAAAUGUAGUCGUCCCCGCCGUCUUCUA
Molecule: long non-coding RNA, 668 nt
Organism: Panthera uncia (snow leopard)
Lineage: Eukaryota; Metazoa; Chordata; Mammalia; Carnivora; Felidae
Exons: 3
Source: RefSeq, a predicted model, not a curated record